CUGCCCUCUACUAAUACAAGGGCAGGGCCUACCUUGUGAGGGUGGGUUUUCUCACAAUAUGGAAAUUUGGGAUGUAAAUAACCUAAAGCUCUAACCCUUUUUCACAUUCCUCGAAAGUCAAAACUAUAUACAUUUUGAGAUCGGCACUUUGGAACACAAGGAGAAAACCAGGAAAUUACUACUCCAGUUCAGGUUUGAGAUCAGCUUGAGAGAGGAUUUGUAGUCUAAGGGUCGCUUCAACUGAUGAUCUCCAGUAAGUGAAUGGAAAUCAUUAGUGAAACGUAAUCUAAUUUCAACAAGAGAUAUGGAAGAUGCUGUAAACAAAGUUGUUAGAUCUGGGGUGUUGUUUGAGUUGUUACUAAAGACUUAGGUAAAACAAAAGAACAAGAAGAGAAAAGUAAAAUAUAAAACUAGAAUUGUGUAUUGAUAUGGAUUAUCGGUAUGAGCGAAUCGUGGUUUUCAAACACUCUGAUCAAUCUCCCUUCAACUGCUUGCUUGCGUUCCUAGCUGGAAGAGAGGGCUCUCGUCAGCAAAACGGGUACCUGAAUUUGAUCAUCAUUUGCCACCGUUGAUGGAAGGCUCUGCAUCUCUUUGGAGAGCUAGUCCAGGUAUCUGCAUCAGAAAACAGAAUGAGUGGAAACCGGUGAAGCUGAUGGUAGAAUUUGACAGCAUCAGAGAACAGAAGGAAGAAUGCACGAGAAGCUGGAGCUGAAAAUUGACCACAUCCAGGAACAGAUGGAUCAAGAAGGAACUAGAAGACUAAAUGGAAAAGACAUCACUAUACACCCGGCGAUACAAAUGAAAAGUGUGUUGCAGAUCAACUGUCAAGGGGUAAAAGGAUCUUGGGGAAUUGUGGACUAUGGAAGAGCAUCACGUAAAUACAUAACAUUGUUAUGUUCACCUAGUAAAUUUUUUUCGAUGAUAAGCGCCAACACAUCUGAAGAGAAUAUCUACAGGUUACAGAUCCUCGUCGUGUUGGACGUAAAAGGGGAUAAGUCGUUGAGGCUAAAUGCUAAUGCUAAAGCAGAAGCGUCAAACGGAUAAGUGGGAGAACACCCGGAAGGAAAUAGCAAAUUGAAACAAACUGGUCCUAAGUUGACCGUUGACCAAGAAUGCUUGAAGCUGUUCACAGAUUUAUUUAUCUAUUUUCUUCUAUUUUUUUUAUUUAUAUGAUACUGAUUUAAUGUGAGACUGGGUUGUACUUUUCAUUCUCUAGUGAAGUUAAACUAUCC
Papaver somniferum (opium poppy) is the source of this 1232-nucleotide long non-coding RNA. RefSeq lists it as uncharacterized. The record is from RefSeq and is a predicted model, not a curated record. NCBI's taxonomy places the organism in Eukaryota, Viridiplantae, Streptophyta, Magnoliopsida, Ranunculales, Papaveraceae. The transcript has 3 exons.